GAGUGGAAGAAGAAGGAGAAAAAAGGGUCGGUGGGGCUGUUGGAAGAGAUGCAGAGGAUGGAGAAAUUGGCUCUGAAUUUGAUCGAAUUUGCUGAUGGGUUUCAGUUUCCAGGGGAGACAGAGAAGAUGGAGGAGGUGGCAGCUCAGGUGGCGGAGCUUGCAGAAAUUUUCCGGAAAAUGGGAGAAGGUUUGGUGCCUUUGCAGGCGCAGAUUAGAGAGGUGUUUCAUAGAAUUGUAAGGAGCAGAACAGAGGUUCUUGAAGUGUUGGAUCAUGCAGCCAAAAUUUCUCAACCUACGACAUAACUCGGCGCAAAUAAUUUGCUAAAUUUUGUGCAAAAUCAUAGUCUUGAACUUUGAAAGUUUGAAAAUUUCAAAUUGUUCAUGGGUGUAUGAACAUGUCCAUGUAGAAC
Molecule: unclassified non-coding RNA, 410 nt
Filed under: Hevea brasiliensis (rubber tree)
Lineage: Eukaryota; Viridiplantae; Streptophyta; Magnoliopsida; Malpighiales; Euphorbiaceae
Source: RNAcentral